UACGUAGGGUGCGAGCGUUAAUCGGAAUUACUGGGCGUAAAGCGUGCGCAGGCGGUUCUGAAAGUCAGCUGUGAAAGCCCCGGGCUUAACCUGGGAAUUGCGGUUGAAACUACAGGGCUAGAAUCUGGCAGAGGGGGGUGGAAUUCCACGUGUAGCAGUGAAAUGCGUAGAGGUGUGGAGGAACACCGAUGGCGAAGGCAGCCCCCUGGGCUGAGAUUGACGCUCAGGCACGAAAGCGUGGGGAGCAAACAGG
This 253-nucleotide ribosomal RNA is filed under the name uncultured bacterium. RNAcentral describes it as "partial 16S ribosomal RNA". It matches the Rfam family "Bacterial small subunit ribosomal RNA", at positions 524 to 776 of the family's 1533-position model. The record is from RNAcentral.